Molecule: small RNA, 1156 nt
Filed under: Arabidopsis thaliana (thale cress)
Lineage: Eukaryota; Viridiplantae; Streptophyta; Magnoliopsida; Brassicales; Brassicaceae
Description: ATSL222040
Source: RNAcentral
AAAAUUUUAAAAAAAAAGUUUGCUUAAUUAAUCAGAUAAAUCUGUUGGCUUUGCUGUCAAAUGAGAUAAUUAUGGUUAAAAACAUAACCUCUCAUUAAUUGUUAAAGCCAAGCAAGUUUUACCUUUUGCAAAACACCAAAGCGUUGUAUGUCAGCUUCUUCGUUAAUGGACAUUUUGAUCGAUCCAAAUUCUGAUAUUAGCUGCAUAGAUAGAAGUUAGCAUUUGAGUUAAAACCUGACAAUUCAGUUAAAACAUGACAGACGAGUUGAAUUUUUACUCCAGUUCUAGUUGAAGGCGCAUUCACCAACACCAUAUCCUUUGAGUUUAUAUGGAAAACCCUAGAUAGCUGAACGGGAAGGAAUAAUAGAAAAUUAUUUCAGAACUUUUAUUACCCUUAAUAUCAUCAAUAGUGAGGUUCAAGAAGCUAACCUUUGUAUUGAUAUUGUAAUUGGAAACAACUGUAUUUGUAAUCCCCAUUCGAUGGAGAUUGGCAUAAAGUGAACCAAGCAAGUGUUCAGUAGACGCAUUAGCAAAUAUUAUACCUUUUAUUACCAUAAAGCGCCCAGACAGAUGUUCAGGAGUUUCCCCAAUGGGAAGACUUUCAGGUUCAUCUUCAAUGACAAGUCCAUGCUACAAGCAGUUUUGAAAGAAUCAAGUACAUGUAUGUAUGAACAACAUAAUACUUGUUGUGAAUCUAGAGGAAGAAAAUUUGCAUACUUACCGUUGACCAGUUCUGUAGCAGGCAUACGUGAAAUCCUCGGUCCAAAAGCUGUUGAGAAAGAUAUAUUCUCCGAGUCUUAAGCAAAAAAACAAAACUCAUCAUAAAAAUGCAUAAUCUCAAAACUUUACUAAACAAUUGAACAAUGGAUAACCAAAUUUACCUUUAGAGUGUUCGUCCAUAUAUAUGUCGGCAUCGGCUCCUCAAACGCCUUGAUUAGUUUAAAGAGUUCUCCAGAGUCAUAUUCAAAAUGCCUUGAUUAUGCGACGCCUUGAUUAUCCGACACUCAUAUUCAAGAUUGGUAAAGAACUGAAAGUGAGCUUAUCUCGUACAAUUAAGUUGUAUAAGAUGCUAUUGUAACAACCGGUUGUGACAAAUCUACAUUUAUAAUCCGGAAUUCACUAAGAUUGUCUUAACAAGUACUAAGUUUAGAGUCUA